ACCCUUUAAUGUUUGAUGUUCUAACGUGGACCCGUGAUCCGGGUUGCGGACAGUGUCUGGUGGGUAGUUUGACUGGGGCGGUCUCCUCCUAAAGAGUAACGGAGGAGCACGAAGGUUGGCUAAUCCUGGUCGGACAUCAGGAGGUUAGUGCAAUGGCAUAAGCCAGCUUGACUGCGAGCGUGACGGCGCGAGCAGGUGCGAAAGCAGGUCAUAGUGAUCCGGUGGUUCUGAAUGGAAGGGCCAUCGCUCAACGGAUAAAAGGUACUCCGGGGAUAACAGGCUGAUACCGCCCAAGAGUUCAUAUCGACGGCGGUGUUUGGCACCUCGAUGUCGGCUCAUCACAUCCUGGGGCUGAAGUAGGUCCCAAGGGUAUGGCUGUUCGCCAUUUAAAGUGGUACGCGAGCUGGGUUUAGAACGUCGUGAGACAGUUCGGUCCCUAUCUGCCGUGGGCGCUGGAGAACUGAGGGGGGCUGCUCCUAGUACGAGAGGACCGGAGUGGACGCAUCACUGGUGUUCGGGUUGUCAUGCCAAUGGCACUGCCCGGUAGCUAAAUGCGGAAGAGAUAAGUGCUGAAAGCAUCUAAGCACGAAACUUGCCCCGAGAUGAGUUCUCCCUGAGACUUAGAGUCUCCUGAAGGAACGUUGAAGACGACGACGUUGAUAGGCCGGGUGUGUAAGCGCAGCGAUGCGUUGAGCUAACCGGUACUAAUGAACCGUGAGGCUUAACCUUACA
Molecule: ribosomal RNA, 732 nt
Filed under: Salmonella enterica
Lineage: Bacteria; Pseudomonadati; Pseudomonadota; Gammaproteobacteria; Enterobacterales; Enterobacteriaceae
Also listed under: 4 other names
Description: partial 23S ribosomal RNA
Rfam family: Bacterial large subunit ribosomal RNA
Source: RNAcentral